GUUCCUACGGGUGGCAGCAGUAGGGAAUUUUCGGCAAUGGGCGCAAGCCUGACCGAGCAACGCCGCGUGAGUGAAGAAGGCCUUCGGGUUGUAAAGCUCUGUUGUAAGGGAAGAACACUUAAAAGAGGGAAUGCUUUUAAGCUGACGGUACCUUACCAGAAAGCCACGGCUAACUACGUGCCAGCAGCCGCGGUAAUACGUAGGUGGCGAGCGUUAUCCGGAAUUAUUGGGCGUAAAGGGUGCGUAGGCGGUUUAUUAUGGCUGUGGUAAAAGUGCGGGGCUCAAACCGGAAUAGCCAUGGAAACUGGUGAACUAGAGUGCAGGAGAGGGCAGUGGAAUUCCAUGUGUAGCGGUAAAAUGCGUAGAUAUAUGGAGGAACACCGGUGGCGAAGGCGGCUGCCUGGCCUGUAACUGACGCUGAGGCACGAAAGCGUGGGGAGCAAAUAGGAUUAGAUACCCUGGUAGUC
RNAcentral lists this ribosomal RNA (467 nucleotides) under uncultured bacterium. Its description in RNAcentral is "bacterial SSU rRNA". It matches the Rfam family "Bacterial small subunit ribosomal RNA", at positions 335 to 795 of the family's 1533-position model. The record is from RNAcentral.